AAUAGAUACCCUGGUAGUCCACGCCCUAAACGAUGCGAACUGGAUGUUGGUCUCAACUCGGAGAUCAGUGUCGAAGCAAACGCGUUAAGUUCGCCGCCUGGGGAGUACGGUCGCAAGACUGAAACUCAAAGGAAUUGACGGGGGCCCGCACAGGCGGUGGAGUAUGUGGUUUAAUUCGAUGCAACGCGAAGAACCUUACCUGGCCUUGACAUGUCCGGAAUCCUGCAGAGAUGCGGGAGUGCCUUCGGGAAUCGGAACACAGGUGCUGCAUGGCUGUCGUCAGCUCGUGUCGUGAGAUGUUGGGUUAAGUCCCGCAACGAGCGCAACCCUUGUCCUUAGUUGCCAGCACGUAAUGGUGGGAACUCUAAGGAGACUGCCGGUGACAAACCGGAGGAAGUGGGGAUGACGUCAAGUCCUCAUGGCCCUUACGGCCAGGGCUACACACGUACUACAAUGGUCGGUACAGAGGGUUGCAAUACCGCGAGGUGGAGCCAAUCCCAGAAAGCCGAUCCCAGUCCGGAUUGGAGU
Molecule: ribosomal RNA, 528 nt
Filed under: uncultured bacterium
Lineage: Bacteria
Description: bacterial SSU rRNA
Rfam family: Bacterial small subunit ribosomal RNA
Source: RNAcentral